RNAcentral lists this microRNA (22 nucleotides) under Lingula anatina. RNAcentral's name for it is "Lan-Mir-1989-P3_3p* (star (passenger))". Lineage: Eukaryota; Metazoa; Brachiopoda; Lingulata; Lingulida; Lingulidae. The record is from RNAcentral.
GAAGCCAUUAUGACAAUUGGUG